CACGUAGGGCGCAAGCGUUGUCCGGAAUUAUUGGGCGUAAAGAGCUCGUAGGCGGUCUGUUGCGUCCGCUGUGAAAACUCGGGGCUUAACCCCGAGCCUGCAGUGGAUACGGGCAGACUAGAGGUAGGUAGGGGAGAAUGGAAUUCCCGGUGUAGCGGUGAAAUGCGCAGAUAUCGGGAGGAACACCGGUGGCGAAGGCGGUUCUCUGGGCCUUACCUGACGCUGAGGGGCGAAAGCCAGGGGAGCAAACGGG
RNAcentral lists this ribosomal RNA (253 nucleotides) under uncultured bacterium. RNAcentral describes it as "partial 16S ribosomal RNA". It matches the Rfam family "Bacterial small subunit ribosomal RNA", at positions 524 to 776 of the family's 1533-position model. The record is from RNAcentral.